AUUGAACGCUGGCGGCAGGCCUAACACAUGCAAGUCGAACGAGUGGCGGACGGGUGAGUAAUGUCUGGGAAACUGCCCGAUGGAGGGGGAUAACUACUGGAAACGGUAGCUAAUACCGCAUACCAUCGGAUGUGCCCAGAUGGGAUUAGCUAGGAGGUGGGGUAAUGGCUCACCUAGGCGACGAUCCCUAGCUGGUCUGAGAGGAUGACCAGCCACGCUGGAACUGAGACACGGGCCCGACUCCUACGGGAGGCGGAAGUGGGGAAGAUUGCACGAUGGGCGCAAGCCUGAUGCAGCCAUGCCGCGUGUAUGAAGAAGGCCUUCGGGUUGAAAAGUACUUUCAGCGAGGAGGCGUUACUCGCAGAGGAAGCACCGGCUGACUCCGUGCCAGCAGCCGCGGUAAUAC
Molecule: ribosomal RNA, 406 nt
Filed under: uncultured bacterium
Lineage: Bacteria
Description: partial 16S ribosomal RNA
Rfam family: Bacterial small subunit ribosomal RNA
Source: RNAcentral